RNAcentral lists this ribosomal RNA (678 nucleotides) under Salmonella enterica subsp. enterica serovar Anatum. Its description in RNAcentral is "bacterial SSU rRNA". It matches the Rfam family "Bacterial small subunit ribosomal RNA", at positions 865 to 1533 of the family's 1533-position model. Lineage: Bacteria; Pseudomonadati; Pseudomonadota; Gammaproteobacteria; Enterobacterales; Enterobacteriaceae. The record is from RNAcentral. RNAcentral also lists the same sequence under 2 other names.
UAGACCGCCUGGGGAGUACGGCCGCAAGGUUAAAACUCAAAUGAAUUGACGGGGGCCCGCACAAGCGGUGGAGCAUGUGGUUUAAUUCGAUGCAACGCGAAGAACCUUACCUGGUCUUGACAUCCACAGAAGAAUCCAGAGAUGGAUUUGUGCCUUCGGGAACUGUGAGACAGGUGCUGCAUGGCUGUCGUCAGCUCGUGUUGUGAAAUGUUGGGUUAAGUCCCGCAACGAGCGCAACCCUUAUCCUUUGUUGCCAGCGAUUAGGUCGGGAACUCAAAGGAGACUGCCAGUGAUAAACUGGAGGAAGGUGGGGAUGACGUCAAGUCAUCAUGGCCCUUACGACCAGGGCUACACACGUGCUACAAUGGCGCAUACAAAGAGAAGCGACCUCGCGAGAGCAAGCGGACCUCAUAAAGUGCGUCGUAGUCCGGAUUGGAGUCUGCAACUCGACUCCAUGAAGUCGGAAUCGCUAGUAAUCGUGGAUCAGAAUGCCACGGUGAAUACGUUCCCGGGCCUUGUACACACCGCCCGUCACACCAUGGGAGUGGGUUGCAAAAGAAGUAGGUAGCUUAACCUUCGGGAGGGCGCUUACCACUUUGUGAUUCAUGACUGGGGUGAAGUCGUAACAAGGUAACCGUAGGGGAACCUGCGGUUGGAUCACCUCCUUACCUUAAAGAA